UGUCCCUACAGGUGCGCCUCUGGAAAUUAAAGUUCAACCUUUGACACUCUAAGCACCUUCCCUGGGAGCCUACCUUUGUAUUCUGUCUUUGACGUAAGAACAGGUCCUAUUCAAAUUUGUUUAUGAUGUGGCAGCGUGGCUGGUCACAGGAUACCAGUGUCCUGAGAGCUGGGGGCAUCCCACAGGUAGGGGUGAGGAAUCAGGACCAAGAAAUAGUUAAAGGCAGGAUGUGGGAGGGCUGGGUACAGAUGCUGCAACAAGCACCCCGGGGGCAAGUUAGGAGACAGCAGCCAGAAAAAGAAAAGGAGCAAAGACAGCUGAUGUGGUCAACAGUCCCGUUUCACAGAGGAGGAAACAAAUCCAGAUGUAGCUGGAUAUGCAUGAUCUAAGGGGCAGAACCUUUGAGCAUGGGGCUGCCUCCUGGCCAGCUCAGCAGGAGAGUCUAUCAUGGCUGUAUGGGUGGAGAGAGGGAUGGCUUCUGGGCAGAAAUUUGGCUCCCACUUUCCUCACCUGGCUGGUUGUCCCUUAUUCCAAAGCCCCCAAAGCAACUGGCAUCUCAUCGUUCCCAGCUCCACGGUGGCUGUCCUGCUGCUGCUGGUGCUCACCUUCUUCAUGAUCCUGUACUUGAGGAAAGCCCGAAGAAGCUCCAGGAAAGGUGAGGACAAAUCCCACCACAUCUACAACAACAUCUCAGUCCAGAAGGAACAGACCACCGUGCAUGGGAAGGAUCCCUCAUCAAGGCAGAGGCGAUCUCAGCUUUCCUGGGUAUCUUGUUUGUCAGCGUUGUUUUUUUCAGUUUCCCAGCUUGUGUUUACAUUUAGUUUCUGUUCACUCUGGACCUGGGCUCACUCAUGACUCCUCAUGCUCCUGUUGCCUCAUCUGCAUGCACCCUUUGCCCCACAUUUCCCAAUUUAAAUCCCUUAGGGAAAGAGAGAGAAGUUGACUGCCCUAGUUUUUGCUCUUAAAGCACUAGCUUAAGGGUCAGCUGUUAAUGGGGGCAGGGAGCCCAUUUCAUGGCGUGGCUGCCACCAGUCCAGUCAGCUAGGGGAAAAGGGGUCACAUGGUGGAAACAUGGCUCCCUAGGUGCUCUGUCAUCAGGAGCUGGGGAACAGGCCAUUGCUGUUGGGUAAGUCUGUCUUGUCUAAAGAAUGAAGAUUCUUGAGAUCACAGAAUUGCAGGACUGGAAGGAUCUAAAGUCAUCUGGUUCAACUCUCUGUAAUGCUGGGAUCAACUCUGCAAGUGGCAUCCCUACCAAAUGCUCUUCUAGCUCAAUGCUAUUUGAACUUGAGUGUGCAUGAAAAUCACCUGGAAAACUUGUUCAAACUGAAUUUCCUUGGCCCCAGCCCCAGAGACUGCUUUAACAGAUCUUAGGAAAGUCUGAGAUUUUAUCAAGCUUCCAGGUGAUAUCGAUGCUAUUGGUCCAUGGAUCACACCUGUGUCGUCUUCCAUAGCCUACUCUUAAACUUCUUCAGUGAUGGCGACUCUGCUGACUUUAGCCAUUCUCAGAGGCUCUGCAGCAUCCAUACUCUGUUCCAUGACUUAUCUUUGUCUCUGUCCUCCAUUCUGCUCUGGGCAGCCCCCAGGGGCCACUGACCACUCCCAGCUGUGAUCUGUACAGUGAACACUUGUCUUCUUUGAUUUCUAGGGCUCCAGUCAACAUAUGGGCUCUGAAGAGGACACUGGGGCCAUCUGCUAUGCCUCACUUACCCACCUGAACCACUUUGUGCCUGAGGACUCCAUCUAUGUCAACAUCCAACUCAACCUGAAGCCCAUACCUGACCCCCUUCUGACUGUGGAAUAUGCCGACAUCGCUGGAGCCAGACUCCAGCCCUCCAAGUCAACUGCCCCAGACAGG
This is a long non-coding RNA of Vulpes vulpes (red fox), 1855 nucleotides long. The record is from Ensembl. NCBI's taxonomy places the organism in Eukaryota, Metazoa, Chordata, Mammalia, Carnivora, Canidae.